CACGUAGGCACCAAGCGUUGUCCGGAUUUAUUGGGCGUAAAGAGCUCGUAGGCGGUUCGAUAAGUCGGGUGUGAAAACUUUGGGCUCAACCCAAAGCGUGCAUUCGAUACUGUUGUGACUAGAGUUCGGUAGGGGAGUGGGGAAUUCCUAGUGUAGCGGUGAAAUGCGCAGAUAUUAGGAGGAACACCGGUGGCGAAGGCAGCUCUCUGGGACGGUACUGACGCUGAGACGCGAAAGCGUGGGGAGCGAACAGG
Molecule: ribosomal RNA, 254 nt
Filed under: uncultured bacterium
Lineage: Bacteria
Description: partial 16S ribosomal RNA
Rfam family: Bacterial small subunit ribosomal RNA
Source: RNAcentral